GAACGAGAAAGCGGGGGCAACUCCGUGAGUAAAGUGGCGCACGGGUGAGUAACACGUGACUAACCUACCUUGGAGUUCGGAAUAACCUCGGGAAACCGGGGCUAAUACCGGAUAACACCUACGGGUCAAAGGAGCAAUUCGCUCUGAGAGGGGGUCGCGGCUGAUUAGCUAGUUGGUAGGGUAAUGGCCUACCAAGGCGACGAUCAGUAUCCGGCCUGAGAGGGCGCACGGACACACUGGAACUGAAACACGGUCCAGACUCCUACGGGAGGCAGCAGUGGGGAAUUUUGCACAAUGGGGGAAACCCUGAUGCAGCAACGCCGCGUGGAGGAUGAAGUCCCUUGGGAUGUAAACUCCUUUCGACCGGGACGAUUAUGACGGUACCGGAAGAAGAAGCACCGGCUAACUCUGUG
Molecule: ribosomal RNA, 413 nt
Filed under: uncultured bacterium
Lineage: Bacteria
Description: bacterial SSU rRNA
Rfam family: Bacterial small subunit ribosomal RNA
Source: RNAcentral